UGGGGAAUAUUGCACAAUGGGGAAACCCUGAUGCAGCGACGCCGCGUGAACGAAGAAGGUAUUCGUAUCGUAAAGUUCUGUCCUAUGGGAAGAUAAUGACAGUACCAUAGAAGAAAGCUCCGGCUAAAUACGUGCCAGCAGCCGCGGUAAUACGUAUGGAGCGAGCGUUGUCCGGAAUUAUUGGGCGUAAAGGGUACGCAGGCGGUUUAAUAAGUCGAAUGUUAAAGAUCGGGGCUCAACCCCGCAAAGCAUUGGAAACUGAUAAACUUGAGUAGUGGAGAGGUAAGUGGAAUUCCUAGUGUAGUGGUGAAAUACGUAGAUAUUAGGAGGAAUACCAGUAGCGAAGGCGACUUUCUGGACACAAACUGACGCUGAGGUACGAAAGCGUGGGGAGCAAACAGG
Molecule: ribosomal RNA, 402 nt
Filed under: bacterium
Lineage: Bacteria
Description: partial 16S ribosomal RNA
Rfam family: Bacterial small subunit ribosomal RNA
Source: RNAcentral